GACGAACGCUGGCGGCGUGCCUAAUACAUGCGAGUAGAACGCUGAAGAGAGGAGCUUCCUCUUCUUGGAUGAGUUGCGAACGGGUGAGUAACGCGUAGGUAACCUGCCUUGUAGCGGGGGAUAACUAUUGGAAACGAUAGCUAAUACCGCAUAACAAUGGAUGACACAUGUCAUUUAUUUGAAAGGGGCAAUUGCUCCACUACAAGAUGGACCUGCGUUGUAUUAGCUAGUAGGUGAGGUAAUGGCUCACCUAGGCGACGAUACAUAGCCGACCUGAGAGGGUGGUCGGCCACACUGGGACUGAGACACGGCCCAGACUCCUACGGGAGGCAGCAGUAGGGAAUCUUCGGCAAUGGGGGCAACCCUGACCGAGCAACGCCGCGGGAGUGAAGAAGGUUUUCGGAUCGUAAAGCUCUGUUGUAAGUCAAGAACGGGUGUGAGAGUGGAAAGUUCACACUGUGACGGUAGCUUAACAGAAAGGGACGGCUAACUACGUG
This 497-nucleotide ribosomal RNA is filed under the name uncultured bacterium. RNAcentral's name for it is "partial 16S ribosomal RNA". It matches the Rfam family "Bacterial small subunit ribosomal RNA", at positions 28 to 507 of the family's 1533-position model. The record is from RNAcentral.